AGCCUUAUGAUAACUAUAUAAGGUUAAACCUGCUCACUGAACUUAAAAUUUAAAGAGCCGCAGUACCUUGACUGUGCUAAGGUAGCAUAAUAAAUUGACUUUUAAUUGGGGCCUUGUAUGAAAGGAUUAAUGGGUAGUUUCUGUCUUUAUUUAAUUUAUUUUAAGUUACUUAAAAGGUGAAAAUUCCUUUACUUAUUUUAAUAGACGAGAAGACCCUAGGAGUUUAUAAAUUAUUUUGUUGGGGCGACAGUGUAGCAAAUAACCUACAUAAUUAAAUUUAAUUUAACGAAUUACUAUUAAUUAAAAUUAAGCUACCCUAGGGAUAACAGCAUAAUAAAUAUUUUAAGUUUGUGACCUCGAUGUUGGAUUAGGAACUUUUAAAGCUAACAGCGUUAAUUGACAGUUCUGUUCGAACUUUUUUACCUACA
This 428-nucleotide ribosomal RNA is filed under the name Sophina tonywhitteni. Its description in RNAcentral is "partial large subunit ribosomal RNA". It matches the Rfam family "Archaeal large subunit ribosomal RNA", at positions 1920 to 2669 of the family's 2987-position model. The record is from RNAcentral. Lineage: Eukaryota; Metazoa; Mollusca; Gastropoda; Stylommatophora; Helicarionidae.